This is a long non-coding RNA of Chrysemys picta bellii (western painted turtle), 1001 nucleotides long. RefSeq lists it as uncharacterized. Lineage: Eukaryota; Metazoa; Chordata; Testudines; Emydidae. The record is from RefSeq and is a predicted model, not a curated record.
AGGAAGCAACCGCUUCCAGCAAGCUCCCUCCUUUCUAUCCCUGAGCCCUGUCCCCCUUCUCCGCUUUGUGGAGAGGGGUUUCAGAACGGGGAGCGGGGGGCAGGAGGACAUCCUGAUAUCGGCACCCCUUUCCUCCCCCCAAGCAACCAGGAAGCUCGCAGGAGCAGCUGAAGGGCAGGGGGCCACAGGCAGCCUCGGGCAACAAUGAGGAGGACAUUGUUGAUGAGGAAGAGGAGGAGAAUGCGCAGCAGGGAAGAGGAGGAGAAUGCGCAGCAGGCAAGCAGAGGAUCCAUUCUUCCUGACAGCCAGGACCUUUUCCUAACUCUGGAGCCAAUCCCCUCCCAGGGCCUAUUGUUGCGGGACUGUGAUGGCGGGGAAGGCACCUCUGCUGCAACCUUGUGUGAGGGUGCUUCCUCCACACCAGCACAAAGGCUGUCCCAGAUUAGAAGGUGAAAAAAGCGGACAAGGGAAGACAUGUUCUGUGAUUUGAUGCGUUCCUCCGAGACUGACAGAGCCCAGCUGAAUGCAUGGAGGCUCACACAGUUGGAGAGCAUGCGCACUGACCUAGAGGGCAGGAAAGCAUGCAGGGAACAAGAGCAUAACACACAAGAGGAGAUAUUGCGACUUAUGGGGGAGCAAACAGACAUGUUGAGGCAUCUGGUUGAGGUGCAGGAAAGGCAGCUACACCUUAGAGUCCUGCUGCACCCAAUGAUGAACCAGCUGCCCUCCUCACCAAGUUCCACAUCUUCCUCUCCCAGAUGUCUUAGAAUGCGGGGCGGGGUGGGGGGGAGUUCCGUUAUCCCUUGAACUCAACUCCAGGGGAUGGUUCAUGGAGCAGAAGGCUCUCAUUCCCACAGCUUGGAUUGCUAGACAGUGCAGUUGUAAUAAGCUAUGUGUCCUUACCCCUCCCGUCCUGUGUUAUCAGGACCUUAGACCCGGGUUAUCUUUGCUAUUCAUUGCUGUCUUUGUUCAGUGUUUGAUAGCAUAAUAAAUAUGCACGG